Aspergillus saccharolyticus JOP 1030-1 is the source of this 88-nucleotide non-coding RNA. Lineage: Eukaryota; Fungi; Ascomycota; Eurotiomycetes; Eurotiales; Aspergillaceae. The record is from the annotation of a RefSeq genome assembly.
GACCGACUGGCCUAGUGGUUACGGCGCUCGUCUUACAAUUUAACAUUGAUUUCACGAGAGAUCGCAGGUUCGAUCCCUGCGUCGGUCA